GGGACAAUCCACUAAGUUGCAGGGUUUCUGGUGAGUGUUGAGUUCAGAGGAAUAUUUUGCACAUCCUAUGUAAGAAAACAGGUAUUAUAGACUAUAGAUCUUCAAACAAAUUAGAAAAUAUGUAUUUUUGGUCACAGGUCAUCCAAAGCCUUUGAUCACUUGGUUGAGAGAUGGCCAGCCCCUGAAGAGUGGAGACAAGGUUCUCACGUCUCCUGAUGGCUCUGAAAUGCACAUACAGACAGCCAAUGUCUUCAACAUUGGCCAUUUCACAUGUGUGGCUACUAACUCAAUUGCUGAAAGAAGCAAAAACUAUAUUGUAAUUGUUCUGGGAAAGUCAGGUCCAUGGAAACAUCAUCAAUAAAAAAUGACAAACAGCCUUAUUACAACAGGUUUGUUUCAUGCAAUUUCCAGAAUACAGCUCCUUGGAUUGACUUUCCUAAAUAUGACUUUGUCUGGAAGUGGAAAGUUUUUAUAAAUAGGCUGAGGCUGCCAGGUGUUUUCACCUUGUUGAAGCCAAAAAAGUCAUACAAUUAUGUAUUACUAAAGCAUACACACAAUUGCAUACAUAUUGAUUGAUAUGCUUAUUCUUGGCCCUAUGCAUAGGGAGUCCCACCAUCUCUGGAUCCCUUGAUGAUGAAGCCAACGAAGAUGUCAUCAUCAUUGUUAACAACCCAUUUCUCUCAUUUGCGAAGCUCUGGGUUUCCCUAUUCCGAGUGUGACGGUUGAAGAAUGGAGAACCAUUCAAAGAUUCUGAUAACCUAUGCCUCCUUCCAGAUCUUAAAUGCCCAGAAAGUAGACUCUGUCCAGUACAUGCGUGUGGUUACCAAUGAGGUUGGUGAAGCCAUCAGGAAUUAUGAAGUCAAAGUCUUCAUUCCUCCAGUGAUUAAACAGGAUGAUCCUAAUCAAGAAAGGAAGCAAAGACUAAAGUUAACAGCAGC
Long non-coding RNA from Xenopus laevis (African clawed frog), 938 nucleotides. RefSeq lists it as uncharacterized. The record is from RefSeq and is a predicted model, not a curated record. The transcript has 3 exons. NCBI's taxonomy places the organism in Eukaryota, Metazoa, Chordata, Amphibia, Anura, Pipidae.